AACGAACGCUGGCGGCAUGCCUAACACAUGCAAGUCGAACGAGACCUUCGGGUCUAGUGGCGCACGGGUGCGUAACGCGUGGGAACCUGCCCUUAGGUUCGGAAUAACUCCCCGAAAGGGGUGCUAAUACCGGAUAAUGUCUACGGACCAAAGACUUAUCGCCUUUGGAUGGGCCCGCGUUGGAUUAGCUAGUUGGUAGGGUAAAAGCCUACCAAGGCGACGAUCCAUAGCUGGUCUGAGAGGAUGAUCAGCCACACUGGGACUGAGACACGGCCCAGACUCCUACGGGAGGCAGCAGUGGGGAAUAUUGGACAAUGGGCGAAAGCCUGAUCCCGCAGUGCCGCGUGAGUGAUGAAGGCCUUAGGGUUGUAAAGCUCUUUUACCCGGGAUGAUAAUGACAGUACCGGGAGAAUAAGCUCCGGCUAACUCCGUG
This 433-nucleotide ribosomal RNA is filed under the name uncultured bacterium. RNAcentral's name for it is "partial 16S ribosomal RNA". It matches the Rfam family "Bacterial small subunit ribosomal RNA", at positions 29 to 507 of the family's 1533-position model. The record is from RNAcentral.